UGGGGAAUAUUGCACAAUGGGCGAAAGCCUGAUGCAGCAACGCCGCGUGAGUGAUGAAGGCCUUCGGGUUGUAAAGCUCUGUCUUUUGGGACGAUAAUGACGGUACCAAAGGAGGAAGCCACGGCUAACUACGUGCCAGCAGCCGCGGUAAUACGUAGGUGGCAAGCGUUGUCCGGAUUUACUGGGCGUAAAGGAUGCGUAGGCGGAUUUUUAAGUGAGAUGUGAAAUACCCGGGCUUAACUUGGGUGCUGCAUUUCAAACUGGGAAUCUAGAGUGCGGGAGAGGAGAAUGGAAUUCCUAGUGUAGCGGUGAAAUGCGUAGAGAUUAGGAAGAACACCAGUGGCGAAGGCGAUUCUCUGGACCGUAACUGACGCUGAGGCAUGAAAGCGUGGGUAGCAAACAGGAUUAGAUACCCUGGUAGUCCACGCCGUAAACGAUGAGUACUAGGUGUAGGAGGUAUCGACCCCUUCUGUGCCGCAGUUAACACAAUAAGUACUCCGCCUGGGAAGUACGAUCGCAAGAUUAAACUUAAAUGAAUUGACGGGGUCAUAGCUG
Molecule: ribosomal RNA, 555 nt
Filed under: uncultured bacterium
Lineage: Bacteria
Description: partial 16S ribosomal RNA
Rfam family: Bacterial small subunit ribosomal RNA
Source: RNAcentral